CAGCAGCCACGGUAAUACGAAGGGUGCAAGCGUUACUCGGAAUUACUGGGCGUAAAGCGUGCGUAGGCGGCUUCUUAAGUCGGAUGUGAAAUCCCUGAGCUUAACUUAGGAAUUGCAUUCGAUACUGGGAAGCUAGAGUAUGGGAGAGGAUGGUAGAAUUCCAGGUGUAGCGGUGAAAUGCGUAGAGAUCUGGAGGAAUACCGAUGGCGAAGGCAGCCAUCUGGCCUAAUACUGACGCUGAGGUACGAAAGCAUGGGGAGCAAACAGGAUUAGAUACCCCCGUAGUCCCUGUCUCUUAUAC
Molecule: ribosomal RNA, 301 nt
Filed under: uncultured bacterium
Lineage: Bacteria
Description: partial 16S ribosomal RNA
Rfam family: Bacterial small subunit ribosomal RNA
Source: RNAcentral